GCCCCGGUAGCAUAAACGGUAAAUGCACCUAUCUUAUAAGUAGGCGAUAGUCGGAUCGUUACCGACGCGGGGUAC
Molecule: transfer RNA, 75 nt
Filed under: Rhodococcus phage Trina
Lineage: Duplodnaviria; Heunggongvirae; Uroviricota; Caudoviricetes
Also listed under: 1 other name
Description: tRNA-Ile
Rfam family: tRNA
About the family: Transfer RNA (tRNA) molecules are approximately 80 nucleotides in length. Their secondary structure includes four short double-helical elements and three loops (D, anti-codon, and T loops).
Source: RNAcentral